UUGCUUGCUUUGGCAGCACAUAUACUAAAAUUAAAACAAUACAGAGAUAAGCAUGGCCCCUUUGCAAGAGUGACACCCAAAUUUGUCAAGUAUUCCAUUUAUUU
This 104-nucleotide small nuclear RNA is filed under the name Aotus nancymaae (Ma's night monkey). Lineage: Eukaryota; Metazoa; Chordata; Mammalia; Primates; Aotidae. The record is from RNAcentral.